CUUCCGCCAGAAAUCGUAGCCCAGGAUGCAUCGCCGGUUCAAAUCUGGGGCGACAAGGAUGGACAACAAUCUGGUGACCCCAUUGAAGGUGACCGGGAUAUCUACGGCCCCUAUGACCUCCAGAUGUUGGCCUCCAGCUGUUGAGAGUUUGAUAUUGGAAUCGAGUUGACGUUUGCGGCUAACAUGGCGAUUCGACAGUCCUCGCGGGUGUUCCGGAACAGCAAAUCGAACCGACGUUUUUCGUCCCACGGAAUGGAAAGACUACGGAAGAUCCGCACCAUGUCCAGGUAGUAGUCUUGGAAUUUCUCCCUGGCUCCCUGUCGACGGUUACAAGCCUGCCGUUCGUAAACGUAGUCCAUGUCGACAGGUCGAUACGCAACAACCGCUCGCACUGGCUACGCGUCAUGCUCGCAUCGAACGGGAUUUUCCGGAUGUUAAGCUCAACGCUGGGUUCAACGCAUGGUACUGCGAGAGAAGGUGUGACAUCUCCAUAGUUUUAAUAUCACAGGUGAAUAAAAUUUACUUUGAAUUUACUAAUUUUCCUAAUUACGCUCCACAAUUUUUAAAUCUAAGCUAAAAAGUACAAAAAUAAGCUUUAACAAAAAUUUACCCAAUCACAAACGAUACAGUACAAUGCGACUAGAAUAAAACGUUUGGGUAGUGGGUUACAAAACUAUAAUAAAUUAAAAUUUUCAAAUUUGACUAUUAAGUUUAAGAAACGUAAGCACAGACAAAACAGUUUAAAAAAACGACAAUCAAAAUCGAAUAGCAAAAGUUGACUAGCAAUAAGAUGAGGGGAAUAAAAUUGAUUGGGAUUGGGUUCUUGUUUGAAUUCUCUUUUCCACCCCCCACCGAGAAAGAAAAUUUUCCGGAUUUCCGAGAAAAUUUUAUCUUCGACCUAAAAUGUUUUUCAAAACGUUUUCAACUAGUUGGUUACUAUUCGAAAUUUCUUUGGAUGUCCAAGACCCCUCGAAUCGGAAACAAAUCGAAUUCGAACUGGUUGUUUCCCACUAGGUGUAGUGUGUUAAGGCAAAUU
Uranotaenia lowii is the source of this 1036-nucleotide long non-coding RNA. RefSeq lists it as uncharacterized. The transcript has 3 exons. NCBI's taxonomy places the organism in Eukaryota, Metazoa, Arthropoda, Insecta, Diptera, Culicidae. The record is from RefSeq and is a predicted model, not a curated record.